GUUAAUUUACGAUGUCUAUCCAGUUACUAAACGGCGCCGUUUAUGAUAUCUAUUGUUGACGUCGCUUGCUGUAUCUGUCUCUCUAGGGUUUUGAUGUAAUAACUCACAUUCAUGGCCUGAUUUGGUCUCAUUUAGGGCUUCUUUUCAAAGGGUAAUAAUAUGAAUGGUUCUUGGUUUUUUGAUGAAAAUUUUAAUGGGGUCCCAGAUGAUUUUUUUGAUGAUGCCAUUAAAUAUUUUGAUUUUCCAUUGGAGGAUGUGGAACCGAAUGAUGUAAUAGAAGAUUGGGAGGCUAAAUUUCAACAGCUGGUGCCACCAUCAUCAAAUGUUUUGGCAGGCUUAACGGCUGGUGGUGAAAAUAGUCAUGACAUUCUGAAAGUAAAGAAAAGCUCCUCAGUUUUGUCCAAUGAAUCUUCCCAGCCAAAACAGUGGCCGGCAGCUGCUGAAGCAUCCUCUAGCAGAAGCAUUCCCCUUGAUUAUGACUCUUCAGAGGUUAAAUAUUCACAAUUAUUCUGUACCUCUAGUCCUGUUUCUGUCUUUGAAAGCAGCAGCAGCUCUAACUCAGCUGAAAAUGCAAGCAGCUCUAACUCAGCUGAAAAUGCAAAGAUCUGUCGCCCCAAAUUUGCAAUCCCAGUGAAGCGGCCUCGAAGCAAGCGCUCGCGGCCCCAGCAACGCACAUUUCGUUCCAUCAUUCCAUCAUCAUGUCCUAUGCUCCAAAACGAUAUCAUCCUUUGGGUUCCUCUGAAUCAGAAUCAGAGUCCUACCCUGAUGAGAAAGCGUCGAGCCUUGCCAAGAAAAAACAGAAGAAAAAAAAUCUGAUGAUGCUGUCUUGUACUGUAGAGAAGAAGAAACCCUCCUUGCAACAGCCAAUUGAAAUCAGAAAAUGUUCACAUUGUGAGGUGACCAGGACUCCACAAUGGAGAGAGGGGCCAAUGGGGCCAAAAACCCUUUGCAAUGCUUGUGGGGUUCGUUUUAGGUCUGGCCGUCUCUUCCCAGAGUACCGUCCUGCUGCUAGUCCAACCUUUGUUCCAUCAUUGCACUCCAACUCCCACAAAAAGGUCGUAGAGAUGAGAAACAAGGCUAGGCCAGUAAGCACUAUGGAUGCAAUCGACACAUCACUGCCAACAGCACCAGAAUCGUUGUGAUAGCCUAUUUGUUUGAUUAUUAUUUAGGAAAGUAGCUUUAUAGCUGGGAGCCGUCUGUUCUCUAUUUUCAGUUUUCUAAUCAGUCGGUUGGUUUGU
Molecule: unclassified non-coding RNA, 1238 nt
Filed under: Hevea brasiliensis (rubber tree)
Lineage: Eukaryota; Viridiplantae; Streptophyta; Magnoliopsida; Malpighiales; Euphorbiaceae
Source: RNAcentral